Molecule: unclassified non-coding RNA, 716 nt
Filed under: Hevea brasiliensis (rubber tree)
Lineage: Eukaryota; Viridiplantae; Streptophyta; Magnoliopsida; Malpighiales; Euphorbiaceae
Source: RNAcentral
CCCCCCCCCCCCCCCAACCCCCAAACAAAAAAUGAUGAAUUUGACACGUACAUCUCCUAUAGAUUGAUUGCUAAACAAAGAGAAAUCUGCGGCCAGAAAAGAAACAAAGGCACGAAAGAUUGCAAAAGAACCAACAAUAAAGGCUAACAAGAAGCAGAAGAGAUGGGGCUUAAGAAAAAAGAGCCAAUAUGACUUAUAUCCUAGUCCUGAACAAAUUUACACCCAUGAAAGUUUGCAACACAAGGAAACUGAGAGUUCCUUAGACAACCUUAACUUAUUGAGGUCAAUUAGAAAUUUGUUGCACCAUCUUAGACUAAAGCAUUAUCAGAAAAGAUUUUGAAUUUGUGAGGCUGUCUUAAAUAACUGUUGUAAUAUAUUAGUAGAAAGCAAAAGGUUAAAAAGCACAUCAUGCAUUUGGCGGAAAGAUAAAAUCAUGGGAAAAAAGUGCUCAUCUUUAUGAAAUUGAAAGACAUGAUACCGAGACAAGCAAGAUAUCUCGUUCGUCACAAAAGCACACCAAAAUCAUCGGACAGAGAUGUUUAUCAAUGCAUGAAGUUCUGCUCACAAUUAUUGCCACAUGUCAAAGAAAUGAAGUCAAUGCAAAGGACACAGUUUUCAGCCUUAAGAAGCCUCUACUUUGAUCUAGCCACGAAAGAAGGAAAGUUCUAUAUAACAUUUUGUUCUAAACAUCCAAUAAAUGCAUAUUUUUAUCCAAA